This 245-nucleotide long non-coding RNA is filed under the name Lathyrus oleraceus (garden pea). Its description in RNAcentral is "Pisum sativum (pea) long non-coding RNA (PSAT_LNC009030)". Lineage: Eukaryota; Viridiplantae; Streptophyta; Magnoliopsida; Fabales; Fabaceae. The record is from RNAcentral.
GGAAACCAAGCAUUAUUUCAACUCAUUCUUAUCAUGCUAAAUCAUGCAUCAAGCUAUUUUUGUGUAAAAAUUUUGAAAAUGAUAGAGGCAUUGUUUGUUGAGAAAAACCACUUGACCAAAAAGUUUGAAUCAACUAGCCUUGUGAGGAGUAAUCCUUAGUUAAACCCCUUUGAGCUUAUUUUAGGAUUCAUUUGAUUGAUAAUUGUAAAUCAAUUGAAAUUUUUUGGAAUAAAUGAAUCCUAAUU